RNAcentral lists this ribosomal RNA (292 nucleotides) under uncultured bacterium. Its description in RNAcentral is "partial 16S ribosomal RNA". It matches the Rfam family "Bacterial small subunit ribosomal RNA", at positions 505 to 796 of the family's 1533-position model. The record is from RNAcentral.
GUGUCAGCAGCCGCGGUAAUACGUAGGAUGCGAGCGUUGUCCGGAAUUAUUGGGCGUAAAGAGAACGUAGGUGGCCUUUUAAGUUCGGUCUUAAAGACCGGGGCUCAACCCCGGGAAUGGACUGAAAACUGGGAGGCUAGAGGAUGUCAGAGGAUGGUGGAAUUCCCAGUGUAGCGGUGAAAUGCGUAGAUAUUGGGAGGAACACCUGUGGCGAAAGCGGCCAUCUGGGGCAUUCCUGACACUGAGGUUCGAAAGCUCGGGGAGCAAACAGGAUUAGAAACCCUCGUAGUCC